RNAcentral lists this ribosomal RNA (497 nucleotides) under uncultured bacterium. Its description in RNAcentral is "partial 16S ribosomal RNA". It matches the Rfam family "Bacterial small subunit ribosomal RNA", at positions 28 to 507 of the family's 1533-position model. The record is from RNAcentral.
GAUGAACGCUGGCGGCGUGCCUAAUACAUGCAAGUCGAGCGAACAGACGAGGAGCUCGCUCCUCUGACGUUAACGGCGGACGGGUGAGUAACACGUGGAUAACCUACCUAUAAGACUGGGAUAACUUCGGGAAACCGGAGCUAAUACCGGAUAAUAUAUUGAACCGCAUGGUUCAAUAGUGAAAGACGGUUUUGCUGUCACUUAUAGAUGGAUCCGCGCCGCAUUAGCUAGUUGGUAAGGUAACGGCUUACCAAGGCAACGAUGCGUAGCCGACCUGAGAGGGUGAUCGGCCACACUGGAACUGAGACACGGUCCAGACUCCUACGGGAGGCAGCAGUAGGGAAUCUUCCGCAAUGGGCGAAAGCUUGACGGAGCAACGCCGCGUGAGUGAUGAAGGUCUUCGGAUCGUAAAACUCUGUUAUUAGGGAAGAACAAAUGUGUAAGUAACUAUGCACGUCUUGACGGUACCUAAUCAGAAAGCCACGGCUAACUACGUG